This 328-nucleotide ribosomal RNA is filed under the name uncultured eukaryote. RNAcentral describes it as "partial 18S ribosomal RNA". It matches the Rfam family "Eukaryotic small subunit ribosomal RNA", at positions 1470 to 1796 of the family's 1831-position model. The record is from RNAcentral.
CCCUUAGAUGCUCUGGGCCGCACGCGCGCUACACUGGUCGAUGCAACGAGUUUCUUUCCUUGGCCGACAGGCCUGGGCAAUCUUUGAACAUCGAUCGUGAUCGGGAUAGAUUCUUGUAAUUUUUGAUCUUAAACGAGGAAUUCCUAGUAAACGCAAGUCAUCAGCUUGCAUUGAUUACGUCCCUGCCCUUUGUACACACCGCCCGUCGCACCUACCGAUUGAAUGGUCCGGUGAAAUCUUCGGAUCUGAGAGAUGUCUGAUUAAUUUCGGACGCCUUUUGGAAAAGUUGCUUAAACCUUACCAUUUAGAGGAAGGUGAANUCGUAACA